This 49-nucleotide non-coding RNA is filed under the name Trypanosoma brucei brucei. The record is from RNAcentral. Lineage: Eukaryota; Euglenozoa; Kinetoplastea; Trypanosomatida; Trypanosomatidae.
AAUCAACAACUGAAAAGAUAUCAAUGAGAUUGUACAUGUAAAUUUAUAC